AUGGCGGCCCCUGAGCAGCCACUACCGCCGAUGUCAAGAGGAUGCCAGAGCUCUGCCUCGCUCUCCCCGCCGCGGGGCGACCGAACCCUUCUAGUGAGGCACCUGCCAGCCGAGCUGACCGCCGAAGAGAAAGAGGACUUGCUGAAAUAUUUCGGGGCGCAGUCGGUGCGCGUCCUGUCAGAUAAGGGACGACUGAAACAUACAGCUUUUGCUACUUUCCCUAAUGAAAAAGCAGCUAUAAAGGCAUUGACAAGACUACAUCAGCUGAAACUUUUAGGUCAUACCUUAGUUGUUGAAUUUGCAAAAGAGCAAGAUCGAGUUCAUUCCCCGUGUCCCCCUUCAGACCCUGAAAAAAAGAAAAGAUCUGAUGACCCUGUGGAAGAUGAUAAAGAAAAGAAAGAACUUGGUUGUUUAACCAUAGAAAAUGGAAUUGCACCAAACCAUGGGCUGACAUUUCCUCUGAAUUCAUGCCUCAAGUAUAUGUACCCACCACCUUCAAGUACAAUCCUAGCAAACAUAGUAAAUGCUUUGGCAAGUGUUCCUAAGUUCUAUGUACAGGUGCUUCAUCUUAUGAAUAAAAUGAAUUUGCCCACACCUUUUGGACCAAUUACUGCACGACCUCCCAUGUAUGAAGAUUAUAUGCCAUUACAUGCACCUCUUCCACCUGCAUCUCCUCAGCCACCAGAGGAACCUCCUUUGCCAGAUGAGGAUGAGGAAUUAUCAAGUAUAGAAUCAGAAUAUGAAAGCAGUGAUGAUGAAGACCGACAAAGAAUGACCAAACUAAUGGAACUAGCAAAUCUUCAGCCCAAAAGGCCAAAAACAACAAAGCAGCACCAUGUGAGAAAAAAGCAAAAAAUAAAGGAUAUAUUGAAAACACCUUCAUCUGCUCCACAUAGCAGUUUACAUCCAGUGCUGUUACCUUCAGAUGUAUUUGACCAACCACAACCUGUAGGUAUUAAGAAAAUUGAAUUUCAUAUAUCUACUGACAUGCCAUCUGCAUUUAAGAAAGAUCUAGAAAAAGAACAAAAUCGUGAAGAACAAAAUUAUGAUUUACCUGCUCCUGGAGGUGAUGCACCCAAUGUAGGAUUUGGAAAAAUCUUCCCUAAACCUAAUUUGAACAUCACAGAAGAGAUUAAAGAGGACUGUGAUGAAAUGCCAUCAGAAUGUAUUUCUAGAAGGGAGUUGGAAAAAGGCAGAAUUUCUAGAGAAGAAAUGGAAACACUUUCAGUUUUCAGAAGUUACGAACCUGGUGAACCGAACUGUAGAAUUUAUGUAAAGAAUUUAGCUAAACAUGUUCAAGAAAAGGACCUUAAAUUUAUUUUUGGGAGAUAUGUUGACUUUUCCUCAGAAACACAACGGAUAAUGUUUGAUAUACGUUUGAUGAAAGAAGGUCGCAUGAAAGGACAAGCUUUCAUUGGACUUCCAAAUGAAAAAGCAGCAGCAAAAGCCUUAAAGGAAGCUAAUGGAUAUGUUCUUUUUGGAAAACCUAUGGUGGUUCAGUUUGCUCGAUCUGCUAGACCAAAACAAGAUUCUAAAGAAGGAAAAAGGAAGUGUUAAAAAUUAAUGAAGAAGCAUUCCUGCGUAAAUACUGCUGUAUUACUGUCAUACAAAGUGUAUCCUUUCUUGUUGUAUCCUUUUUGGGGCAGUGUUUUCUGUUUUCCUAGAAAUGUUUUGUCCCUCCCCUACGCAUUGAUUCGGAUUAAGCAAUAGUUUUUUUUCUAAUUUAUUCAAAUGAGAUAUUUCUAAAAUUACCAAUGUUGAUUGGACAAAUCACUUACGUGUUUUUUAGAUCUGUUGCUGAAUUUUCUAUGCUGUUCCUGAGGUUAUGUAAUUUUUCUAGGGAAAGUUAGUGAAUCAGGUCAACUUAUUUACUUGGAGAAUGUAUGCAUCUGCUUCAACACAGAAUUUAGUCUUGUUUCUUAUAUUUAUGUAUUUCCUAAACCUAAUUCAAUAACAUAUGCUUUCUGUUUUAUGAUGUAUCUGGUUUAGGUGUUCUAUAUAACGUAUUGUAAAAUUUGGGGAAAGGAUUUUUUUUCUUUUAAAAAAGUAUAUAUAUUGAAAAUUAAAAUACCUGAAUUUCUUUGUAAAUUCCAAGAGUAGCAGACUUCAUAUCUGAGGUUUUAUUAUUGAUACUUCCUUUGAGAUAGAUAGCAAGUAGAAGUAUUUUUUUUUUCCUCUUUCUUUCUCUAAACAAAAGGAAUGAGAAAAGAGGAACAGAGGGAAGAAGACAUAAUGUUGACUCAGGGUAGCACCUUAAGUGAAAAGAAACAAUCUGGUUCCUUCUGAUUCCAUGUCUUCCAACUGCUUUCCAACUUUAAGGAGAAGAAAUUGACACCUGGACUAUGGAACUAUACUGCCCUCUGCCCUUCUUUUCAUUUUUACCUGGAUACCAAUGCAGUUAAACAUACUUUUUUUUUUUUUUUUUAAAGAUUUUAUUUAUUUAUUUGAGACAGAGAGAAUGAGAGACAGAGAGCAUGAGAGGGAGGAGGGUCAGAGGGAGAAGCAGACUCCCCGCCGAGCAGGGAGCCCGAUGCGGGACUCGAUCCCGGGACUCCAGGAUCAUGACCUGAGCCGAAGGCAGUCGCUUAACCAACUGAGCCACCCAGGCGCCCAAACAUACUUUUUUAUAGUAAUAUUAUUUCUUAUUUCUUGUAAUUAUUUUAGGAGUGGUUUUGUUUGUCUGGCUAUGACUUUUGUUUUUUGUUGUUGUUGUUUAUUUUGGAUUUUUUUUAAUAGUGGCAGAUUUUCCCCACUUUAGGAAAUUUGUAUUCUUGCCCUAAUGUCGUCUUUUAUUUUCGUGCCCCCAAAUCGAUCAGAUUAUCACAUAAGGGUGUAAAUGUUUCCCAUACAAAAGUAUUGUGUUAUCUUAGUGAAAUUAGCUUCAGCUAUGUGUUAAUAAGAAAACUUUGCUAUAUUUAAUUUGUUCUUAUUAGUACUGUCCUGUGAAUAUAUAAUAAUAACUUCACCAGAAUCAAUGCCCAGAGACUUGGUCUUUGUUGGAAUGCUUUUGUGAAUCACAGCUUUUGUCUCCUAGCAUUGUGAAAUAAUGAAAAUGGGAAUUUUAAAGAUAGGAAUUAGAAGUAUGGAGAAGUGAACCCCAGAACAUGCUCAUUUUUAGAUGUCAGGUAUAUAAAGAAUUUAGAUGUCAGUAUAUAAACCAAACAAAGAAAAUAUCUCAGGUAGGAAGGGGUGGUGAAAUAUAUCAGAUCUGUUCUUGACAGAUCUCUCCUUGACAAACUGAUCUGAUGAAUGAAGAAAUGAGAGGACGUAUUAAAGAGAAUGGUAGAGAGGAAUUUAAUAUAGUGAGAAUUGAAGACAACCAUGUUAGAGAGUCUUGCUCUCGGGGGGAUAGAGAAAUGGGCUGUUAAUGCAGGGGGGUAUAGUAUCAAGAGGGUUUUGAUUUUGUUUUGUAAAGAUUGAAGAUAUAGCAGGUUUGUAUGGACUAAUCCAGUAGGACUAACCCAGCAGAGGAAAAAACAAAUAUGAUGCAUGAAGGAGAGGGAUAUUGUUGGAGCUACAGAUAUGGUAUGCAAAUAGAAGAGUUAGUUUUAAAGAUGGGCGUGUAAAUGGCUCAUUGAUAGCAGGGAGAAAGGAUGGAUUGUGUAGGCCUAGAUACUUGUAGUUUGCUGGAUAUAUAGGAGGAGCAUGUAAAAGUUGUAUGAUAUUUUUUCUGUGAAAUAGGAAGCAAGGUCACAGAGGGAAAGAGUAUUGGAUUGAGGAAAGAAAAGAAGGUGUAAAAUAGACACUUAGGAAAGUGACAGAGUGAAUAGAUUCUUAGAAGGAUGGCUAGACAGUACUUAAAGUGGUCAGUUGAAGUCUGUUAAUUUAAGUGAGACUAGUCAAAUGAUUUUGUGUUUUCCUCCAAUGAUGUUGAGCCUCGGUGCCAUCACUGAGUAGACAGGAGUUGAAUUUAAUAAAGUUGGAAUUUUCCUAGAUGAAUACAACAAAGUGGGAGGAAGGAAAAGGUGUUGAUAUACUCAAGGGAAUGAUUAUAAAGAAAAGACAUAGAGAUCUGGGUAAAGAGCAAAGUGAGAAAAUGAAGGUUGAGAAACAAUGGAAAAAUGGUAUGAUCAAUUAUAUAUAGAUUGCAGUAUGACUGAAGAAAUGUUGGAGUUAUUUACUAGAGGUAGGAAGUAGAAAUUUGAGAGGUCCAAAUAAGAGAAUAACAUGACAAAUUGACAAAGGCAGAGAAUACUGUAAUUAGUGUCUAUAAGUUCUAGAAUGUGAACAUGGUAGUUAAGUGACAACAGGGUCAUGGAAAGAGAUGAAUUAAAGAAAUUGAGAAACUUGAGUAAGAAAAGGAUCAUCUAAGUGGAUUUUGAAAUUAUUAAGAAUUAUGACAGGAAUAGUGAGCCAAGAUCUAAGUAAAAUUACCUCUUAGAACAUACAAUUCUGUUAGAUAUGGAAAAAGCAGUAUUUAAAAAAAAUCAGUUUAUAAAACUCUUUCUACAGUGACAGGAAAUUCAGCCUAAUUUACUGAAAACUAGUGUAUUACAGUGGUUUUAUAGUUGUAGAUUCUGACACCAAAUCUUGUUUCUGAGGUUUAAUUGCUUUAUCACCUUGGGCAGGUUCUAUCCAUUUCCAUGGAGAUAAUCAAUACUUAUGGUAGGAUUGUUGUAAAGAUGAUUUGAUGAACAUAAAAUACUUAAAACAAGUCUGGGGUGUGUGUGUGUGUAGUCAACUUCUCAGUAAAUAUUAGCUCUUAAUAGUGGUUGUGGUGGUUCUCAGCUCACACCAAUUCCAGGUGGCAUAAAGAUUUUGAUGUCUUAGACAAAACUUCGACAAGACUUCAAUUAUCUUGCCAAUGUAAUGACCCACACUUCUAGUGCUUCUGAGUGAGGAAAAAUUGCCUCGAUUAUUCAAGGUUCUUCUAGCUGGUCUAAGAAUUAAAUUGACAUGAGACGUAAUUCAUAAUUUCUUAACAACCUUAAGUUAGCUUUAAUACUGAAUAUUUUCCCAGUUCACGUGAACUUGAAAUUCAUUUGGAUUGUGUUUCUUUUUUAUUUUUGAGAAUAUUUAUGAAUGCAAAACUUAUAAGUGCUUAAUUUUCUUUAAGCCAAUCAAAUAGAGCUCUUCUACAAAAUCAUUUGAGCAAUUCUAACUGGAAAAUGCCAUAUAUCCACAAUAGACACAUACUGACAGAUGCAGAAAACUUACCAUUAUUAAUAUUUGAGGAGAAAGGGGCAAGAGAACCCUUUUGCAGUUUGUAUUUUUAAAAAAUAUCUACUUCCUUCUUUUUUUUCUUUACUCAGGCAAUUGUGGGCUGUGUGUACACUCCAGAGAUACAAGAUUUAUAACUAUAAGAGACAAAGAAUGUAAGGGUUUUUUUUUUUCCCCUAAGAAUUAUAGGGUAAUUGCUAUUUAGAAUUUACCUUCCUUUUCUUAAGUAGAGGACAAUUCUGUUUCAGUAUCCUGAUUUUUUAUAGUACCUAUAAGCAUUUUGAGAGGAAUAGGUGAGGUUUUGGGAUUGGUAGAGAUGGCGGGGGUUGCUUCUAGAGUUGCAUUUCUGGUUUUGUAGAGAUUUGCCAGGCACAGUUGUUGCUAAUUCCCAGAAAAAACUGAAUUACAGCCUGAAUAUCAAGAGAUUGAUCAGCUUUUUUAACUAAACUUGACUCCUUAGAUCAGGGAGAUUUCCACCUAAAGUGGGAAUCAGGUUUAUAUCUUUGUAAAAAAAAAAAAAAAAAGUCUGUAUAAAUCAUGUUAACUAAAGCCUUCUUUCUUCACAAUUCAAUCUUGGCUUCUAUUAGCCCCUGAAUAUCAGUCUUCUGCUCUUCAUUUGUAGGAGGGCCAGGAAAAAUUAUGGUCAUCUCUUUCUUUUUUAGUGGGGAGGAUGUGAAUCUUUCCAAUUUCUCUUUAAAUUUGGUGGGCUCUUUUGAAAGUGGAGGUAAAAUUGGGCUUUAUGAGUUACAAGAUUUGUUGCUAUCCAAGGGACAUGAAAUUUUUUCCCUCCUGGGUUUGGGGGGGUGGGGGGAGGUGGGAAUCCAGGGUAUAUCUGCAAAGGACAUGGCAUAAGAAUGCCUAAAGCUGGCAGAGCCUGUUUGUAGAGCUUUAGAAAGUAGGAGUUAAAAGAAAUAGCCAAGUGACAUAAUAAAAUUAAAAAAAAAAGAAAGAAAGAAAUAGCAAAGUGAGCCCUAUCACUUGUCUUCAGUGCUUCUGUUAAAUUCACUUCAUGAGUUUUAGCAUUUAUAUGAGUAAUGUAUAUACAUUGACUCUGGAGUUUAGGCUGGAGUGCUCUAUACCCUUAUAAGGAAGGGUAAGUUAAAACAGGCAGAUGGAGCUGGUUUUUAAGAAGGGGAAUUUA
Molecule: RNA transcript, 6301 nt
Organism: Mirounga angustirostris (Northern elephant seal)
Lineage: Eukaryota; Metazoa; Chordata; Mammalia; Carnivora; Phocidae
Gene: RNPC3
Gene name: RNA binding region (RNP1, RRM) containing 3
Exons: 17
Source: RefSeq, a predicted model, not a curated record